Long non-coding RNA from Daphnia pulex (common water flea), 1025 nucleotides. RefSeq lists it as uncharacterized. The record is from RefSeq and is a predicted model, not a curated record. NCBI's taxonomy places the organism in Eukaryota, Metazoa, Arthropoda, Branchiopoda, Diplostraca, Daphniidae. The transcript has 7 exons.
CUGUAGACAUUCACCCAUCAACCGCUUCAAGUGGCGAGUAAUGGACACAUUUUACUUGGAAUGGAAAUGGAUGCUGGAUGUGAAGUGGAAACUUGAAGUUGGAGAAGAUGCUGAUAGGAUGAUUUAGUUAAAUGGUUAAAUUGCUCCAUGCCUGGAAUAGUGGUCACCACCACUACGGUUGUUAUUGCUGGAUGGUGAAUUGGACAAUCCAUGGUACCAUCAGAUUGCCUGGUUUUUGUUAGAUGUGGUUGAGCUUCCUACUGCUUCAGCUUGGGAGAUUUAACUCAAUUUUAAUAGUGGUUUGGGGUAUGUGGCAGUCGUGGUAUAAGGACAAAGUUUCCUUGGGUGCCAUUCGUAUUCUUGGACAAGUCGUAAGUAAAAAUUUUUGUCACAACUUAUGGCGCGCGGUAUCUCCAGCCGUUGUUCUAUACACGUGCUGGUCGACUAGUGCCUACAUUACACUGGAAGUGUUUGCAUCGUUGGACUGUAAUGGGCAUAUUCCAUGCUGUCCUGGAAUAAACCUCCAAUAAUUUUUGCAUUUGCCCAGUUCUUUGUCCGUAAUUUAACCUUUGGUCUCAUAUUUCUAGGUUUUUUUUGCUGAACUCGGUUAGAAGGUGACAUUGCUAUCGUCGGUGAGCAUUCUUUUUUUGGUGUUUUUCUACUUAUUGCAAAUGAUGUGUUUAGUCAUCCGUGUUUCACCUGAAUUUAUGAUUAUAAUCUUUGACUCUGAUGAUAAAUGGGAGGGAUAUUUUGAAUAGGGCUUCUUCAGUGGCUAACAUCUUAUAAUUUUCUAGGUGAUUCGAUGUGCAUUUCUUACUUCGGUCAUUUGUGCAAUCGUCAGACUUGAUUGGGGUUCCAGAAAUUACUGGUAAUCGUUUGCUGGUUGCUUUCAUGUUUUCCGUACAACGUUGAGUUGAACGGUAUCUGGGGGCACGUAUGAAGAAAAUAUCCUUCGAUAAUUGUUUGAAAAUGAAACGCCUUGUAUGCGUCAAGUUACGAAUACAAAAUUGAGGUUAAAUUUGGAA